RNAcentral lists this transfer RNA (73 nucleotides) under Apaloderma vittatum (bar-tailed trogon). It matches the Rfam family "tRNA". Rfam says of the family: Transfer RNA (tRNA) molecules are approximately 80 nucleotides in length. Their secondary structure includes four short double-helical elements and three loops (D, anti-codon, and T loops). The record is from Rfam by way of RNAcentral. Lineage: Eukaryota; Metazoa; Chordata; Aves; Trogoniformes; Trogonidae.
GGCUGGUUAGCUCAGUCGGUUGAGUGUGGUGCUGAUAACACCAAGGUCGUGGGUUUGAUCCCCGCUCCGUCCC